AUUGAACGCUGGCGGCAGGCCUAACACAUGCAAGUCGAACGGUAGCACAGAGAGCUUGCUCUUGGGUGACGAGUGGCGGACGGGUGAGUAAUGUCUGGGAAACUGCCUGAUGGAGGGGGAUAACUACUGGAAACGGUAGCUAAUACCGCAUAACGUCUUCGGACCAAAGUGGGGGACCUUCGGGCCUCACACCAUCGGAUGUGCCCAGAUGGGAUUAGCUAGUAGGUGGGGUAAUGGCUCACCUAGGCGACGAUCCCUAGCUGGUCUGAGAGGAUGACCAGCCACACUGGAACUGAGACACGGUCCAGACUCCUACGGGAGGCAGCAGUGGGGAAUAUUGCACAAUGGGCGCAAGCCUGAUGCAGCCAUGCCGCGUGUAUGAAGAAGGCCUUCGGGUUGUAAAGUACUUUCAGCGAGGAGGAAGGCAGUCGUGUUAAUAGCACGAUUGAUUGACGUUACUCGCAGAAGAAGCACCGGCUAACUCCGUGC
This 489-nucleotide ribosomal RNA is filed under the name uncultured bacterium. Its description in RNAcentral is "bacterial SSU rRNA". It matches the Rfam family "Bacterial small subunit ribosomal RNA", at positions 30 to 508 of the family's 1533-position model. The record is from RNAcentral.